This 295-nucleotide long non-coding RNA is filed under the name Mytilus galloprovincialis (Mediterranean mussel). The record is from RNAcentral. Lineage: Eukaryota; Metazoa; Mollusca; Bivalvia; Mytilida; Mytilidae.
AUGCUGUUGAAUAUUAAUCCUCUCAAAAAAAAGUUUGAAGAAAUUUUCUUUUUAUUUAUGAAAUCUGAAAUGAGAAAAAUUUAACCCCCCCCUUUUUUCACAUCCCCGUUUCCCUUUUUCCAAAACUGAUAUCAAUUCAAAUUUCUAAUGGAGUUUGCAACAAUAACUACUCUUUUAAAUACAUCAUAAAAUAUUAAAAUGUAAAAUAAAGUGCUUGUUAUCACUGAAUGGUAAAGAUUGGUUGGUAGUAAAAGUGAAUAUACAUUGUUUAUUGUAUAAAACAAUAAAAAAAAAC